AAUCCACCGUCCAAAAAUACUUGUCAACAAAAUGGAUAAAAAGGGAUGUAUGUAGAACUAAAAUACGUCUAGAUACAUUCCCUCUUCUUCAUUUUAAUGACAAGUAUUUUCGGACACUAAAAUGUGGUUU
Triticum aestivum (bread wheat) is the source of this 130-nucleotide non-coding RNA. The record is from Rfam. Lineage: Eukaryota; Viridiplantae; Streptophyta; Magnoliopsida; Poales; Poaceae.